AAAAAUUCAACUCAAAACCGAAAUUUUUCAACCCCGACAAAAAACAAAACAUUACAAUCGAGUACAAAAGCAUUUACAAAAGUCAUAGAGCAUAUAGGAUUUGACUUAAGAAUGCUAUCCAAGAUCAAACAACACUUCUGAAUUAAUUGGAACCUGCACAUAAAAUAAAUAUUUGUCAUCAAGCUUAGUGAUGCUUUAAAAGUUUCCAAUAAUAAUUUAUAUAUUACAUUAGUCAAAAACAUAUUAGUUAAUAACAUGAACUUAACGUUAAAGCAUCAUAACAUUUCAUCAAUAUCCAUCAUUUCAUUAUUAAGCAAAUUUCAUCAAUAUCAUGAAGUCAACGCUCAUUUGCAAUAUCAUAUUCCAUUUCAUAUUUAAGUAACAUUUACAACAUUAAACAUCAUUAGAGCAUAGUCUCUAUUAAUCAAACAUGAAAACUUUGUUUAGAUACAAGGAUAAAUCUAGACACACCAUAUAGAAUAACAAAAUUUCGUGAGUUCCAACCAAACACAUUACAAAAAUAUGCAAAGCACAACAAUGUACCCUCUAAACACACCAAAAUAUACAUAAGUCUCAAUCAAUAUAUUCUCCAAACAUACUACUCUUGGGUACAUUAAGCAAACCCGACAAUACACACAAGAUCAAAAAAUUCAAUAUCUUAUGACAUGUCAACUAUAUCCAAACACAUUUUAAAAUUGUUUAGACAAUUAAAACAUAUUUAAUAAUUUCAUUAAGCAUCUUAACCAAUUCUAUUCAACCAAAAAUCAUCUUAAUCAUAUAGUUUAUUCAACAACCUAAGCAUUCAACUUAAGAUAAUACAAAGUAAAAUAAAAAAUCAAAGAGUACAAAUCGAAACUGUCACGCUUCUCCUACUUUCUCAUUCCCAUAAGCUUUAGAGGCCUCGCCAACCUCCUUAGCUUCAAUUCAUACCAAAACAAUAAGUUGGUAAAACAUUAAUCAACAAUUAAAACACUAAAGUUAUUAAGAUGAUGCAAUUCGAAAAACCGAGAGGCUCAUGUCGCUUCCAAAAAUCUCAUAAGAGAAUUAUUUCAUACUUAACCUAACCUUGCUAAAAUUGAUUUCUAUUGGUUUAACCAUAAUCCAAAGACCAAAACUCACCUAGAAAUUAUCAAGAACCUAACUCUUCUCAUUUUCUCUCUGUAGAACUCAUUAAUGGCAACUCACUAAAGCUUGACUAGAACUCCAAUUAAAUUUGAAAUUCUUUGUUCUAAUAACAUUCGAAACUCAAAAACACUUAGAAUUUAAUUUGAAAACUACACAAAAACACAAAAUCAAAGUUUUCUCUCUCUAGCUUAAAACUAACCUAACUGACAAGGAAAAGAGACCAUGCUUGAUUUUCUUGAAAAAUAUUGAUUCCUAGUAGUUUAAAUUAUCUUCAGAACCUCAAAACAUUAAAUCUCAAAUAAAUAUUCAUCAAGAAUCAUUAAAUUCCCAAAACCUCUCCAGAUUGCCGUGGAAGUAAUUUUUGAAAGGAGAAAUGUUGAAUCAAGCUUAAAACAUUUGACUAAAUGAAAGAAAUUAUCAAAAUAUUGCUUACCUUGUUGCAAUUGAAAGACUGAAAUCAAGAAUUGAAGUUGAAAUUGAGAGAAAUUUUGAGUAGAAAAUUUUAAGUAUCGUGAAAA
RNAcentral lists this long non-coding RNA (1643 nucleotides) under Gossypium barbadense (sea-island cotton). RNAcentral describes it as "long non-coding RNA (GBAR_LNC010804)". Lineage: Eukaryota; Viridiplantae; Streptophyta; Magnoliopsida; Malvales; Malvaceae. The record is from RNAcentral.